GCCAGGAAGGAGCACCUGCAGUGAGAUAUGGUGGGUCUGGGCUGUGGGAGUGGAGGACGUACAAGACAGCAGGGGACAGGAGGAGUCGGUUUGCUUGCUAUGUCUCGCAGUUCUUGGAUAAUAGCUAAUUAAGGUGUUUUCAGAGGGAACAUUCAUCUUUGUGAACAACAUAAUCCUGGCUCCUAACUCAGGAGGAUGUUACAUAGGGGUGGCUCUGGGAGUUUGGAAACAGCACAGCUCCGGGACCUGAGAAAUAUGUGUCACUUUGUCAUGCAACUGACGCGGCUCAGAGCCUAUCUAGCUGUUCAGUAAAGAAGAAGACUGCUCUCGUU
This is a long non-coding RNA of Ornithorhynchus anatinus (platypus), 332 nucleotides long. RefSeq lists it as uncharacterized. NCBI's taxonomy places the organism in Eukaryota, Metazoa, Chordata, Mammalia, Monotremata, Ornithorhynchidae. The record is from RefSeq and is a predicted model, not a curated record. The transcript has 2 exons.